This is an RNA transcript of Panicum virgatum (switchgrass), 2073 nucleotides long. It is a transcript of the gene named proline-rich protein 36-like, with no coding region annotated. The transcript has 7 exons. The record is from RefSeq and is a predicted model, not a curated record. NCBI's taxonomy places the organism in Eukaryota, Viridiplantae, Streptophyta, Magnoliopsida, Poales, Poaceae.
AAAUAUCUUCGCUUUCCACCUCCCUCUCAACACCUCUCCAGUACUCCCCUUCGUGCCGCCGCCCUCCCCGUCCUCUCCGUCCCCUGUGCAGCGCUCCGUUCUCGCGCUCGCCCGCCGAUCGACCGCCUCCGGCGCGCCGCCGGGUCCCCCGCGCCGCUCCAACGCCCGGCCCGUCGCUUCCCCUCGCCGUCUCCUGCGUAGAGCGACGCUCUCGCGCUCGCCCGCCGACCGCCUGCCUCCGCCACGCCGCCGGGUCCCUCGCGCCGCUCUAGCGCCUGGGUUCUUCAACGCCGGCUUCAGAUCCAGGGUCAGAUCAAAACUGGAGCUCCCUGCCGAUCUGAGCGUCUUGCCAAGUACAAUCAGGCAAGUGAUUCUUAUGUGAUGUAUUGCAAUAUAAAACCUAUUUUUGUGGCUCUCUCUCUAUCUCUUUUUUUUUUGCAAUGAUGGCCAUUGUUUCAUCUCCAACUACAGCAAGAACAGGCCUGCUCCUCUGCCAGGUCAGAAUUUUCCCUCUACCUUCAUUGGUUGGAUUGAUCUGUACGAUGAUACGUACAACCUACCAUGUGUUUGUAAAAUUAACAUUGCACGUAAUCCAGUUUUUUGUUUGGUUAUCUAGAACAUUCUCUUUGCUUUGUGAUACGAUGAAUAGCCAUGCUUAUCAAAUUUAGUAGAGAUUAGAGAAUAGUUCUACUAGCAUCCUACUGCCCCAUCAUACUACAUGAAAAAUUCCCUAACCAGGAUAAUAAUUCAGUAUGGCAUGCAAUUUAUAUUUUUCUUUUUGCUUCCCAAGUUUUAAUUUUCUUUUCUUUUUCACCACUAAGGCAUCAUGAAGUUUUCCUAAUUUAUGUGCCGAUCUACUUGAUUAAGUAGUAUAUGUUUGCUAUACAUAUGAUCAAAAUCUUCAAAAUAAACUUGGAAUGCUGGCUUAAAUGUUGCUUAUUUCUACAUGUUAAAGCUCCACGGCUCCGCCGCAAGCCAUUGGUCCACGACAGCAAAAAAUCAAUGGUCCACGCGAUUUACAUCGAACGGCUGGAGGCGCUGCUUCCAUCACGCAGGCUUUCUUGUUUGCUCGAAUCUUCUCGGGUCCUCCCGUCCUCUCUCCUUCCCUGUCCCCCGAGCCUUAUCCUCUCUUUUUGCAUUUCCUCUUUCUCCUUCCGUCUUCUCCCUUUCACUCCCUUUCAUGGCGAGCUCCUUCCGUCCGCCUGCCCUCUGCCCCCGCGACCUCCAUUCCUUGGUGAGCUCCGUCCGUCCUGGCAUCCACGCACGGCUCCUGCCAUUCUUCCCUAACAGUCGCCAUUGAAUGUGGCUCAAAUCUUGCUCCGUCCGUCCAUGCACCUUGGUCCUGCAAUGUGGUCAUGAUGAUGGCCAUCCGCACCUGCAAUUAAUCUGCUCAUGUCUAGUGCAGGUUCUUGUGGCUACUGUGCUAAUUCAUAUACCUUCUUAGACAGGGCCAGUUGUUAUCUACAGACGUAAACAUGUUGGGCAUAAAUAUCAACUAGAUGCGAUUCUUCUUUUCCUUGUGGGAACUCAUCUGCCUCAACGGGGCGGGGUGGGGGGGCACUACUACCUCACUCAUACCUUCUACAUCAACUCCAUCAUUACUGUCCUAGGAAGGAGAGCUUGAACACCUGCAUCAUCACAAAUACACCAUGUUCAUAAAUGGACCUUCUCCAAUUGCCCAAACGAAUCCUAACAUUACGCAGACUCAGAUCGUGAGCCAAAAUAUCUGGUAGUUUACUCCAACAGUCUUCCAGCAGCUGACGUGAUCUACACCCAUGAAGAUGCCCGAUCAAGAUAGUUGGUUACCAAACUGCUGCUGCUGCUUGUAGAUUUUUAUUUUGUUGAUUCUGCUGUUGAUGAGCAUUCCUCUUCACCCUCAGCUGACGCAGCUCUUGAUAUAUGCAUAUAUCUCUACGAAUGUAGCACAUGUGCACGCGCCCAUAUGUAGGGGAACCUAUCUACCUAUAUGUAAAUAGUCCAACUAUAACCAUCCUAUGAACUGUGUAUGAAUAUGAGCAAUGCUUACUUAUUUAUAGCUACUUAUGCAAUAUAUUUGCACAUUUAAGAUUUGCA